AAAGAAAAUUUCCUGACCACCAUCCCCAGAUUUUGCCUGAUGUCCCUGGUCUGGCGCAUUUAAAAAAUGUUAACCAGUAGGAGAGGAAUCAAGUGCAGAAUCAUCACUACAGAGCCAAAGCCUCUUCACUUCUAUGGAGGAAAACAUUUGUCUCCCUGGCCAUCACCAAAUUUUGGAGGCCAGUUGGGCCCCUUCUAUCCGAGGCCACACUCAGAAUUCUUUACAUUCCUCAGUGCUGAUCAGCCUUCCUGUCAGCCCUGAAGAAAGAAAGCAGGUAACCGAGUAAGCUCUGUGAUGGCAGAAAGAGACCGUAAAGAAAGAUUUCUUGCAUACACUGAAUUGGAUCGUUAUCCUCCUAAACUACUCUGAAGGGGAGAGUCCAAGCCACACAGAAGGAGGUUUCUCUUUGUGGUCUAUUGGAGCAAGCGACAAUUCCUCUGGAUUUGGGUACCAUGGAGAAGGUGGCAGAGCCCCCUGUCAUCUGACCUAGCUCAAGAACACAGAUCUUCUAUAAUUAAAUGUCUCCCUCAACAAAAUGCUAAUAAAACAAUGCAAUGGCUGCACC
Molecule: long non-coding RNA, 565 nt
Organism: Myotis davidii
Lineage: Eukaryota; Metazoa; Chordata; Mammalia; Chiroptera; Vespertilionidae
Exons: 4
Source: RefSeq, a predicted model, not a curated record